RNAcentral lists this ribosomal RNA (227 nucleotides) under uncultured bacterium. RNAcentral's name for it is "partial 16S ribosomal RNA". It matches the Rfam family "Bacterial small subunit ribosomal RNA", at positions 118 to 345 of the family's 1533-position model. The record is from RNAcentral.
UCGGAACGUGCCCCGGAGUGGGGGAUAACGCCGCGAAAGCGGCGCUAAUACCGCAUAUGCUCUGAGGAGGAAAGCGGGGGACCUGUGAGGGCCUCGCGCUCUGGGAGCGGCCGAUGUCCGAUUAGCUAGUUGGUGGGGUAAUGGCUCACCAAGGCGACGAUCGGUAGCUGGUCUGAGAGGAUGAUCAGCCACACUGGGACUGAGACACGGCCCAGACCUCCUAGGGA